AUGCAGUCGACGGUGACGACGGGGCUUGCUCUGUCUGAUCAGUGGCGAACGGGUGAGUAACACGUGAGUAACCUGCCCCCGACUCUGGAAUAACCGUGGGAAACGACGGCUAAUACCGGAUAUGAGACGCACGGGCAUCUGUGUGUCUGGAAAGAUUUAUCGGUCAGGGAUGGACUCGCGGCCUAUCAGCUUGUUGGUGGGGUAAUGGCCCACCAAGGCGACGACGGGUAGCCGGCCUGAGAGGGCGACCGGCCACACUGGGACUGAGAUACGGCCCAGACUCCUACGGGAGGCAGCAGUGGGGAAUAUUGCACAAUGGGCGCAAGCCUGAUGCAGCGACGCCGCGUGAGGGAUGAAGGCCUUCGGGUUGUAAACCUCUUUCAGCAGGGAAGAAGCGAAAGUGACGGUACCUGCAGAAGAAGCGCCGGCUAACUACGUGCCAGCAGCCGCGGUAAUACGUAGGGCGCAAGCGUUGUCCGGAAUUAUUGGGCGUAAAGAGCUCGUAGGCGGUUUGUCGCGUCUGCUGUGAAAACCUGAGGCUCAACCUCGGGCUUGCAGUGGGUACGGGCAGACUAGAGUGCGGUAGGGGUGACUGGAAUUCCUGGUGUAGCGGUGGAAUGCGCAGAUAUCAGGAGGAACACCGAUGGCGAAGGCAGGUCACUGGGCCGCAACUGACGCUGAGGAGCGAAAGCAUGGGGAGCGAACAGGAUUAGAUACCCUGGUAGUCCAUGCCGUAAACGUUGGGCACUAGGUGUGGGGCUCAUUCCACGAGUUCCGUGCCGCAGCAAACGCAUUAAGUGCCCCGCCUGGGGAGUACGGCCGCAAGGC
RNAcentral lists this ribosomal RNA (828 nucleotides) under Cellulomonas sp. RODAV11. RNAcentral's name for it is "bacterial SSU rRNA". It matches the Rfam family "Bacterial small subunit ribosomal RNA", at positions 55 to 894 of the family's 1533-position model. The record is from RNAcentral. Lineage: Bacteria; Bacillati; Actinomycetota; Actinomycetes; Micrococcales; Cellulomonadaceae.